GAUGAACGCUAGCGGCAGGCUUAAUACAUGCAAGUCGAGGGGCAGCGGGAGUAGCAAUACUUGCCGGCGACCGGCGCACGGGUGCGUAACACGUAUGUAAUCUGCCCAUCACAGGAGGAUAGCCCGGAGAAAUUCGGAUUAAUACUCCAUAAUAAAUUGAGUGGCAUCACUUGAUUUUGAAAGUUCCGACGGUGAUGGAUGAACAUGCGACUGAUUAGUUAGUUGGUGAGGUAACGGCUCACCAAGACCACGAUCAGUAGGGGUACUGAGAGGUUAACCCCCCACACUGGUACUGAGACACGGACCACACUCCUACGGGAGGCAGCAGUAAGGAAUAUUGGACAAUGGCCGCAAGGCUGAUCCAGCCAUGCCGCGUGCAGGAAGACGGACCUAUGGUUUGUAAACUGCUUUUGAACUAGAGAAAACCCCUUUACGUGUAAAGGGCUGAUAGUAUAGUUAGAAUAAGCAUCGGCUAACUUCGUGCCAGCAGCCGCGGUAAGACGAAGGAUGCAAGCGUUAUCCGGAUUCAUUGUGUUUAAAGGGAGCGUAGGCGGACUUGUAAGUCAGUGGUGAAAUCUUUGGGCUUAACCCAGAAACUGCCAUUGAUACUGCAGGUCUAGAGUACAGUUGCCGUUGGCGGAAUAUGACAUGUAGUG
This 656-nucleotide ribosomal RNA is filed under the name uncultured bacterium. RNAcentral describes it as "bacterial SSU rRNA". It matches the Rfam family "Bacterial small subunit ribosomal RNA", at positions 28 to 680 of the family's 1533-position model. The record is from RNAcentral.